AUGUUCACUUUGGCAGCAUGUAUACUAAAAUUGGAACAGUGCAGGGAAGAUUAACGUGGCCCCUGUACAAGGAGGAUGUGCAGAUUCACACAGCGUUCCAUAUUUUU
Delphinapterus leucas (beluga whale) is the source of this 107-nucleotide small nuclear RNA. The record is from Ensembl. Lineage: Eukaryota; Metazoa; Chordata; Mammalia; Artiodactyla; Monodontidae.